UACCAGCACCCCGAGUGGUCGGCACGAUUAUUGAGCCUAAAGCAUCCGUAGCCGGUUCUACAAGUCUUCCGUUAAAUCCACCUGCUUAACAGAUGGGCUGCGGAGGAUACUAUAGAGCUAGGAGGCGGGAGAGGCAAGCGGUACUUAGUGGGUAGGGGUAAAAUCCGUUGAUCCAUUGAAGACCACCAGUGGCGAAGGCGGCUUGCCAGAACGCACUCGACGGUGAGGGAUGAAAGCUGGGGGAGCAAACCGG
RNAcentral lists this ribosomal RNA (253 nucleotides) under uncultured bacterium. Its description in RNAcentral is "partial 16S ribosomal RNA". It matches the Rfam family "Archaeal small subunit ribosomal RNA", at positions 474 to 727 of the family's 1478-position model. The record is from RNAcentral.